AAUGGUCAUGUUAGUGACAUGAUAUUUUUAACCAAUCAAAAUAUAUUUCUGAAUUUUAUCCAUCUUAUCAUAAUUUAAGGAAAAAAUAUUUUAAACUUUUAUCACAUAAGAAAAAUUAUGAUUGACUAAUUGUAAAUGAUAUUGUGUGACUGUCAUAUAAUAAACUUUCUCGUAUGUGUGUAUGCGCACGCACACAGGCGCCCGCAUGAUUAGGGUUGGCAAAUGAGCGAGCCGGCUCGCGUUCGUCUCGCAUUCGGCUGGAAAUUCGGCUCGCUCGAGCUUGGCUCGAAAUUAAAUGAGCCAAACUUGAACAAAAAAAAAAGCUCUAAAUUUAUAUCAAGCCGAGCUUGAGUAUUACUCGGCUCGUUCGAAUUAAGCUCGAAAAGCUCGAAUAUAUAUAUAUAUAUAUACACGUGUAUAUAUAUAUAUAUAUAUACAUAUGUAUACAUAUAUAAGUAGGUCUUGUGUGCUAUUAGGAGCACGGAACCCUCUGGGCUCCUAAGCCAUUUUCGGCAAUGGAGCUUCCAAAUCGACGAUUGGCUCAGUUAGACUUGAUCUAGCGUAUUUGAAGUAUCUAGAAAAUAAAUUUUGCGAUUUUUUAAUAUCAUUUACUUAGCGAUUGAAAAGAUUCAAAAUCAACAAUUUUUAAUGGUUGAUUAAUAUCGUUUGCAAGUUUAACGGUGUAGAAGUAUUCAAAUCAGAUAAAAUUUGGAUCGAAAAUUAUUUAUACUAUUUACUGCAAGAUUAAUAUCUCUGAUCGAAAAUUUUAGCGUUAUAUGACCACUUUUUGUGAGAUUUUUAUUUUUAGCUGUUGAUUUUGAACCCUUUAGAUCGCUAGGUAAAUGAUACCGAAAAAUCACUAAAUUUAUUUUCUAGAUACUUCAAAUACGCCAGAUCAAGUCUGAUGGAGCCGAUCGUCGAUUCGAAAACUCUAUCAUAAAAAACGGCUUAGGAGCACGGAUCCGUGCUCCUAAUAGCACACAAGACCUACU
RNAcentral lists this long non-coding RNA (992 nucleotides) under Ananas comosus (pineapple). RNAcentral describes it as "long non-coding RNA (ACOM_LNC040678)". Lineage: Eukaryota; Viridiplantae; Streptophyta; Magnoliopsida; Poales; Bromeliaceae. The record is from RNAcentral.